Molecule: ribosomal RNA, 439 nt
Filed under: uncultured bacterium
Lineage: Bacteria
Description: partial 16S ribosomal RNA
Rfam family: Bacterial small subunit ribosomal RNA
Source: RNAcentral
CCUACGGGCGGCAGCAGUGGGGAAUAUUGCACAAUGGGGGAAACCCUGAUGCAGCGACGCCGCGUGAGCGAUGAAGUAUUUCGGUAUGUAAAGCUCUAUCAGCAGGGAAGAAAAUGACGGUACCUGACUAAGAAGCCCCGGCUAACUACGUUCCAGCAGCCGCGGUAAUACGUAGGGGGCAAGCGUUAUCCGGAUUUACUGGGUGUAAAGGGAGGGUAGACGGAGAUGAAAGCCAGAGGUGAAAGCGCGGGGCUAAACCCCGGGACUGGAUUUGGAACUGUAUAGCUGGAGUGUCGGAGAGGCAGGCGGAAUUCGUGGUGUAGCGGUGAAAUGGGUAGAUAUUAGGAGGAACACCAGUGGCGAAGGCGGCUUGUGGGACGAUGACUGAAGUGGAGGAUCGAAAGCGUGGGGAGAAAACAGGAUUAGAUACCCGGGUGUC